AAGUCUUCGGACUUUUUCUAGCGGCGGACGGGUGAGUAACACGUGGGCAACCUGCCUGGUAGAGGGGGAUAGCCUUCCGAAAGGAAGAUUAAUACCGCAUAACAUGGUUUCAGGGCAUCCUGAAAUCAUCAAAGGAGCAAUCCGCUAUCAGAUGGGCCUGCGUCCCAUUAGCUAGUUGGUGAGGUAACGGCUCACCAAGGCGACGAUGGGUAGCCGACCUGAGAGGGUGAUCGGCCACAUUGGGACUGAGACGCGGCCCAGACUCCUACGGGAGGCAGCAGUGGGGAAUAUUGCACAAUGGGGGAAACCCUGAUGCAGCAACGCCGCGUGAGUGAUGAAGGCCUUCGGGUUGUAAAGCUCUGUCUUCAGGGACUUUAAUGACGGUACCUGAGGAGGAAGCCACGGCUAACUACGUGCCAGCAGCCGCGGUAAUACGCAGGUGGCAAGCGUUGUCCGGAUUUACUGGGCGUAAAGGGAGCGUAGGCGGAUAUUUAAGUGGGAUGUGAAAUACCUGGGCUUAACUUGGGUGCUGCAUUCCAAACUGGAUAUCUGGAGUGUUGGAGAGGAAAGUGGAAUUCCUAGUGUAGCGGUGAAAUGCGUAGAGAUUAGGAAGAACACCAGUGGCGAAGGCGACUUUCUGGACAAUAACUGACGCUGAGGCUCGAAAGCGUGGGGAGCAAACAGGAUUAGAUACCCUGGUAGUCCACGCCGUAAACGAUGGGUACUAGGUGUAGGGGGUAUCGACUCCCCUGUGCCGCCGUAAACACAUAAGUACCCCGCCUGGGGGAGUACGGUCGCAAGAUUAAAACUCAA
Molecule: ribosomal RNA, 813 nt
Filed under: uncultured bacterium
Lineage: Bacteria
Description: bacterial SSU rRNA
Rfam family: Bacterial small subunit ribosomal RNA
Source: RNAcentral